AGGUAAGCUACUAAGAGCGAAUGGUGGAUGCCUUGACUGGUAGAGGCGAUGAAGGACGUACUAGACUGCGAUAAGCUAGGUGGAGCUGUCAAGAAGCUUUGAUGCCUAGAUUUCCGAAUGGGGCAACCCAGUAUAUAGAGAUAUAUACUACCAUAAUGGAGCGAACGAGGGGAAUUGAAACAUCUUAGUACCCUCAGGAAAAGAAAUCAAACGAGAUUGCGUCAGUAGCGGCGAGCGAAAGCGUAAGAGGGCAAACCCAGUGCUUGCACUGGGGGUUGUAGGACUGCAAUGUGCAAGAGGAAAGGUUAGCAGAACACUCUGGAAAGUGUAGCCAUAGAGGGUGAUAGUCCCGUAUGCAAAAACCUAACCUUAGCUAGCAGUAUCCUGAGUAGGGCGGGACACGAGAAAUCCUGUCUGAAGCUGGGUAGACCACUAUCCAACCCUAAAUACUACUACCAGAUCGAUAGCGAACAAGUACCGUGAGGGAAAGGUGAAAAGAACGGCGGUGAGCCGAGUGAAAUAGAACCUGAAACCAUUUGCUUACAAUCAUUCAGAGCACUAUGUAGCAAUACAGUGUGAUGGACUGCCUUUUGCAUAAUGAGCCUGCGAGUUGUGGUGUCUGGCAAGGUUAAGCUAACGCGAAGCCGUAGCGAAAGCGAGUCUGAAUAGGGCGCUAAGUCAGAUGCUGCAGACCCGAAACGAAGUGAUCUAUCCAUGAGCAGGUUGAAGCUAGUGUAAGAACUAGUGGAGGACCGAACCCGCUAGCGUUGAAAAGCUAUGGGAUGACUUGUGGAUAGGGGUGAAAGGCCAAUCAAACUUCGUGAUAGCUGGUUCUCUCCGAAAUAUAUUUAGGUAUAGCGUUGUGUCGUAACUAAAGGGGGUAGAGCACUGAAUGGGCUAGGGCAUACACCAAUGUACCAAACCCUAUCAAACUCCGAAUACCUUUAGUGUAAUCACAGCAGUCAGGCGGCGAGUGAUAAAAUCCGUCGUCAAGAGGGAAACAACCCAGACUAACAGCUAAGGUCCCCAAAUCUUACUUAAGUGGAAAACGAUGUGAAGUUACUUAAACAACCAGGAGGUUGGCUUAGAAGCAGCCAUCCUUUAAAGAAAGCGUAAUAGCUCACUGGUCUAGUGAUUUUGCGCGGAAAAUAUAACGGGGCUAAAGUAAGUACCGAAGCUUUAGACUUGCAUACAACUUAGAUGAUUUAAAUUUAGAAUAUGAGAAGCUAAAUUUAUUUUUAUUUAUUUUUGCUUAUCUUUAUUCAUUUUUAUAGAGUAAAGAUAAAAACAAAAACUUCGUAAAAAUAAUAAAAUAUAGUAAAAAACAAUAAAAAUAUUCUUAGAUUAAAAGUUAAGUCGUUUAAGUUGUGUGCAAGUGGUAGGAGAGCGUUCUAUUUGCGUCGAAGGUAUACCGACAAGGAGUGCUGGAGCGAAUAGAAGUGAGCAUGCAGGCAUGAGUAGCGAUAAUUAAUGUGAGAAUCAUUAACGCCGUAAACCCAAGGUUUCCUACGCGAUGCUCGUCAUCGUAGGGUUAGUCGGGUCCUAAGCUGAGUCCGAAAGGGGUAAGCGAUGGCAAAUAGGUUAAUAUUCCUAUACCAACAUUAGUGUGCGAUGGAAGGACGCUUAGGGCUAAGGGGGCUAGCGGAUGGAAGUGCUAGUCUAAGGUCGUAGGAGGUUAUACAGGCAAAUCCGUAUAACAAUACUCCGAGAACUGAAAGGCUUUUUGAAGUCUUCGGAUGGAAAGAAGAACCCCUGAUGCCGUCGAGCCAAGAAAAGUUUCUAAGUUUAGCUAAUGUUGCCCGUACCGUAAACCGACACAGGUGGGUGGGAUGAGUAUUCUAAGGCGCGUGGAAGAACUCUCUUUAAGGAACUCUGCAAAAUAGCACCGUAUCUUCGGUA
Molecule: ribosomal RNA, 1899 nt
Filed under: Campylobacter upsaliensis
Lineage: Bacteria; Pseudomonadati; Campylobacterota; Epsilonproteobacteria; Campylobacterales; Campylobacteraceae
Description: partial 23S ribosomal RNA
Rfam family: Bacterial large subunit ribosomal RNA
Source: RNAcentral